CAGUCGCCGCGGUAAUACGGAGGGAGCUAGCGUUGUUCGGAAUUACUGGGCGUAAAGCGCGCGUAGGCGGUUACUCAAGUCAGAGGUGAAAGCCCGGGGCUCAACCCCGGAACUGCCUUUGAAACUAGGUGACUAGAGUCUUGGAGAGGUCAGUGGAAUUCCGAGUGUAGAGGUGAAAUUCGUAGAUAUUCGCAGGAACACCAGUGGCGAAGGCGGCUAACUGGUCCAUAACUGACGCUGAGGUGCGAAAGCGUGGGGAGCAAACAGGAUUAGAUACCCGAGUAGUCCCUGUCUCUUAUAC
Molecule: ribosomal RNA, 301 nt
Filed under: uncultured bacterium
Lineage: Bacteria
Description: partial 16S ribosomal RNA
Rfam family: Bacterial small subunit ribosomal RNA
Source: RNAcentral